Molecule: long non-coding RNA, 1792 nt
Organism: Sinocyclocheilus grahami
Lineage: Eukaryota; Metazoa; Chordata; Actinopteri; Cypriniformes; Cyprinidae
Source: Ensembl
GUCCAAGUGAAGAGUGCACUAUCAAGAAUCUUGCUCCAGGGUAUGAGUAUGAGUUCACAGUUAAAGCUGUUGUGAAUGAGACGUUUGGAGGUGUGCCAAGCAGCGCUUCUGAUUACACCAAACCUUCGACUGUCACAAACCUAAAACAAUCAUAUAAAGAUAGCACAUUCAUAAAAGCCUCUUGGGAACCGCCCGAGGGAGGAUAUUCAGGAUACCGCUAUUGUCUUAAAAAAGUCGAUUACAGCCACAAGUGUACUUACUGCAACAUCAUAACAAGCAGCAGCAGUACGACAGACUUCAGUAUUACAGACUGCAACAUAGUGAAUGCAACUACAAAUGUAAUCACUGAGACUGAUAAACCAGACGGCAGCAAGUUUUGUCUGUGUGUGGCAGCGCUGACAAAUAAUGACAUUAUAUCAGGAGAAAUGGUUCCAAUCCCAGCAUACACACUCCCAAAAACUGUGAACCUCUCUUUGGAACCCGGCUCCGACAACAUGACUGCCCGCUGGGAAACAGAUGUGAAGUAUGAAUAUUUCAAAGUGAUGAUUACAACAGAUGCAUACCCGUACAAUCCCCUGCCACUUAGAAUUACAGAGUUGAAUUACACUUUCGAGAAACUGAAGGCAGGAGUGAAUUACACCGUUUCAGUUUACACAGUCAGUGGUGACCUGAUUAGUGUUCCUGCUAUAGAGUCAAAAUACACCAAGCCUACUAAGCCUGCUUGGGUAAAUGCCAUCGCUAGCAAAAAAAGCAUAGAUGUAUACUGGGGAGCUCCGUUUGCGUCACAGGGUGUCACGAUUAAUUAUACGGUGGAAUAUUACACGGCUUUUUGGAACAAAUCUGAUCAAAUAUAUACAAAUGGUACAAGCACCAACUUUACUGGUUUAAAUCCAGGAACGAGAUAUGACAUUAAUGUCCGUGUCGUGGCAGACGAUUUGAGUGAGCCAGCAACUUAUCAUGCAUACACAGUGCCUGAGAAGAGGACACUGGUGCUCACAAUGUUGUGUUCCUCUGAAACGGCGCUUCAUUGUGACAAAACUGACACUCGGAAAGAACUGUUUGACAAGCUGAAAAACAUAACUCAUAUCAAAUUUGAAAACAAGGUCCACUGGAAUCUGAGUUGGGCAAAAACAAAAGACAACGUCCUUUGAAUCCCUAUGACGUGGCCUGCUGUAACUAAGGGGAAAAAUCACAUACUGCAAUGCAUUGUGAACUCUGAUUUUGUUUUCUUACAUUUACAAACAAAAGCAAUUUGUCAAAGAACCAACAAUAUUUGUAAUAUACAACUCCUGGUUUAUUAGACUAGAUUAGGAAACAAGCUAGAGAUGAGGAGAAAUGCAAAGAAGAAAGACAUUUUUGGUAAACCCUGGAUUAUGGAGACCAAAUGUCCUCACAGAGAUAGAAAAACCUGACAUUUUUGACCUUAUAAAAAAGCUUAUAAAUCAUAGUUGUUUUUUGAAAAUGUAAAAAUGCAAAAAGUUUUCUGUGUGGGUUUUGCUAGAAGGGAUAGAAUAUACAGUUAAUAUACAGUUUAAAAAUCAUUAUUUCUAUGUAAAGUGCAUUGGUUGUUAAGUGCUUGUUUUUAGCUUCUUGAGAGAUUUGGGCUUUGAUUCUCACUCAUUUUUAGAACUCUAUUGUCUUUUCUUGUUACAAAUUGCUUAUUGACAUAUUUACUAAAUAGAGUGGAGUAAUGAUAUUUGCUAUAGUUAAGGGAGCUCGAUCUUCAAAACUGUAACUUGAAUAGCUUUUUCAUAAAGACAUUUACUAUAGCUUCAUGUGAGUUCCAAUUUUA